UUAUAAAUUCAGUUUCGUCUUCCUUUCAAUGGGUUCCAUUUCCGAGCAGCCUCACUUUGUGUUGUUCCCUUUCAUGGCUCAAGGCCACUUGCUCCCCAUGGUAGAUAUUGGUACACUGUUGGCACAACGUGGCGUUAUUGUUACUAUAGUUACAACACCUCAUAAUGCUGACAGUGUCCAGAAAUCGAUUGCUCGAACCGACGAAUAAGGGAG
This is a long non-coding RNA of Hibiscus syriacus, 213 nucleotides long. RefSeq lists it as uncharacterized. The record is from RefSeq and is a predicted model, not a curated record. NCBI's taxonomy places the organism in Eukaryota, Viridiplantae, Streptophyta, Magnoliopsida, Malvales, Malvaceae. The transcript has 3 exons.